CCCCCUCCCGUUGAGUCGUGCUCUCCCCUGGCCUUAACCCUUGCCGUUUCUUCUUCCGGGGCCUAACAAUGCAAGUCGAGCGGRGGAAGGUAGCUUGCUACCGGACCUAGCGGCGGACGGGUGAGUAAUGCUUAGGAAUCUGCCUAUUAGUGGGGGACAACAUCUCGAAAGGGAUGCUAAUACCGCAUACGUCCUACGGGAGAAAGCAGGGGAUCUUCGGACCUUGCGCUAAUAGAUGAGCCUAAGUCGGAUUAGCUAGUUGGUGGGGUAAAGGCCUACCAAGGCGACGAUCUGUAGCGGGUCUGAGAGGAUGAUCCGCCACACUGGGACUGAGACACGGCCCAGACUCCUACGGGAGGCAGCAGUGGGGAAUAUUGGACAAUGGGGGGAACCCUGAUCCAGCCAUGCCGCGUGUGUGAAGAAGGCCUUAUGGUUGUAAAGCACUUUAAGCGAGGAGGAGGCUACUUUAGUUAAUACCUAGAGAUAGUGGACGUUACUCGCAGAAUAAGCACCGGCUAACUCUGUGCCAGCAGCCGCGGUAAUACAGAGGGUGCGAGCGUUAAUCGGAUUUACUGGGCGUAAAGCGUGCGUAGGCGGCUUAUUAAGUCGGAUGUGAAAUCCCCGAGCUUAACUUGGGAAUUGCAUUCGAUACUGGUGAGCUAGAGUAUGGGAGAGGAUGGUAGAAUUCCAGGUGUAGCGGUGAAAUGCGUAGAGAUCUGGAGGAAUACCGAUGGCGAAGGCAGCCAUCUGGCCUAAUACUGACGCUGAGGUACGAAAGCAUGGSSAGCAAACAGGAUUAGAMMCCMUCGAAAAC
This 814-nucleotide ribosomal RNA is filed under the name Acinetobacter sp. RNAcentral's name for it is "bacterial SSU rRNA". It matches the Rfam family "Bacterial small subunit ribosomal RNA", at positions 1 to 795 of the family's 1533-position model. The record is from RNAcentral. Lineage: Bacteria; Pseudomonadati; Pseudomonadota; Gammaproteobacteria; Moraxellales; Moraxellaceae.